Molecule: ribosomal RNA, 502 nt
Filed under: uncultured bacterium
Lineage: Bacteria
Description: partial 16S ribosomal RNA
Rfam family: Bacterial small subunit ribosomal RNA
Source: RNAcentral
AGCGAACGCUGGCGGCGUGCCUAACACAUGCAAGUCGAACGUGAAAGGGAGCAAUCCCAAGUAAAGUGGCGUACGGGUGAGUAACACGUAGGUAAUCUACCCCAGAAUCUGGAAUAACCGGCCGAAAGGCUGGCUAAUACUGGAUAGAGCGACGGAAUCCGUAAUUGGGUUUUUCGGGAAAGGGAGCCUGUAAAAAGGCCUUCGUUCUGGGAUGAGCCUGCGUCCCAUCAGCUAGUUGGUGAGGUAAAAGCUUACCAAGGCAAUGACGGGUAGCUGGUCUGAGAGGACGAUCAGCCACACUGGAACUGAAACACGGUCCAGACUCCUACGGGAGGCAGCAGUGGGGAAUCUUGCGCAAUGGACGAAAGUCUGACGCAGCAACGCCGCGUGAGUGAAGAAGGCUUUCGGGUUGUAAAGCUCUGUCGAGUGGGACGAAAAUGCUUGGAGUUCACAGCUCCAGGAACUGACGGUACCACUAAAGGAAGCACCGGCUAACUCCGUG